UGCCUACGGGGGGCAGCAGUGAGGAAUAUUGGUCAAUGGGCGGGAGCCUGAACCAGCCAAGUCGCGUGAGGGAUGACGGCCCUAUGGGUUGUAAACCUCUUUUGUCGGGGAGCAACGAGGCCACGUGUGGCCGAAGUGAGAGUACCCGAAGAAAAAGCAUCGGCUAACUCCGUGCCAGCAGCCGCGGUAAUACGGAGGAUGCGAGCGUUAUCCGGAUUUAUUGGGUUUAAAGGGUGCGUAGGCGGAACAUUAAGUCAGCGGUAACAUCGAGGGG
Molecule: ribosomal RNA, 274 nt
Filed under: uncultured bacterium
Lineage: Bacteria
Description: partial 16S ribosomal RNA
Rfam family: Bacterial small subunit ribosomal RNA
Source: RNAcentral